UACGUAGGGUGCAAGCGUUGUCCGGAAUUAUUGGGCGUAAAGAGCUCGUAGGCGGUUUGUCGCGUCGAAUGUGAAAACCCGGGGCUCAACCCCGGGCCUGCAUUCGAUACGGGCAGACUAGAGUUCGGUAGGGGAGACUGGAAUUCCUGGUGUAGCGGUGAAAUGCGUAGAUAUCUGGAGGAACACCGGUGGCGAAGGCGGCAUCCUGGACCGGUAUUGACACUGAGGCGCGAAAGCCAGGGGAGCAAACGGG
RNAcentral lists this ribosomal RNA (253 nucleotides) under uncultured bacterium. Its description in RNAcentral is "partial 16S ribosomal RNA". It matches the Rfam family "Bacterial small subunit ribosomal RNA", at positions 524 to 776 of the family's 1533-position model. The record is from RNAcentral.